UCCUUUGUUGCCAGCGGUCCGGCCGGGAACUCAAAGGAGACUGCCAGUGAUAAACUGGAGGAAGGUGGGGAUGACGUCAAGUCAUCAUGGCCCUUACGACCAGGGCUACACACGUGCUACAAUGGCAUAUACAAAGAGAAGCGACCUCGCGAGAGCAAGCGGACCUCAUAAAGUAUGUCGUAGUCCGGAUUGGAGUCUGCAACUCGACUCCAUGAAGUCGGAAUCGCUAGUAAUCGUAGAUCAGAAUGCUACGGUGAAUACGUUCCCGGGCCUUGUACACACCGCCCGUCACACCAUGGGAGUGGGUUGCAAAAGAAGUAGGUAGCUUAACCUUCGGGAGGGCGCUUACCACUUUGUGAUUCAUGACUGGGGUGAAGUCGUAACAAGGUAACCGUAGGGGAACCUGCGGUUGGAUCACCUCCUU
This 424-nucleotide ribosomal RNA is filed under the name Klebsiella pneumoniae. RNAcentral's name for it is "bacterial SSU rRNA". It matches the Rfam family "Bacterial small subunit ribosomal RNA", at positions 1108 to 1532 of the family's 1533-position model. Lineage: Bacteria; Pseudomonadati; Pseudomonadota; Gammaproteobacteria; Enterobacterales; Enterobacteriaceae. The record is from RNAcentral.